This 237-nucleotide long non-coding RNA is filed under the name Mytilus galloprovincialis (Mediterranean mussel). The record is from RNAcentral. Lineage: Eukaryota; Metazoa; Mollusca; Bivalvia; Mytilida; Mytilidae.
UUAAAAUUUUUAACAAAUUCAACCCUAUACCCAUAUUUCAGAAACUUCCAAUUUUGGCCGAUACUAGUAUGUAAAAGAUGCCAUAUUUGAGUUGCCAAAUCUUUUAAACUUAUGGUUCAAAUCUUUUAAAAUUUUAACAAGAUGUUGAGGUUGGCCUAGUUUAUCAAUGAAAAAAAAUUAAGAAAAAUUAAACGACAGGAUUUUUUUGGGGUAUAGUGUUGGGUACCCCCUUAAAUA